Non-coding RNA from Salmo salar (Atlantic salmon), 55 nucleotides. Lineage: Eukaryota; Metazoa; Chordata; Actinopteri; Salmoniformes; Salmonidae. The record is from Rfam.
AAUGCACCAAUUUGUAAGUCGCUCUGGAUAAGAGCAUCUGCUAAAAUGACGUAAA